This 468-nucleotide ribosomal RNA is filed under the name uncultured bacterium. RNAcentral's name for it is "partial 16S ribosomal RNA". It matches the Rfam family "Bacterial small subunit ribosomal RNA", at positions 36 to 507 of the family's 1533-position model. The record is from RNAcentral.
UCCUCCCUCUUUCUUCGUGCUUAACACAUGCAAGUCGAACGGAAAGGCCCUGCUUUUGUGGGGUGCUCGAGUGGCGAACGGGUGAGUAACACGUGAGUAACCUGCCCUUGACUUUGGGAUAACUUCAGGAAACUGGGGCUAAUACCGGAUAGGAGCUCCUGCUGCAUGGUGGGGGUUGGAAAGUUUCGGCGGUUGGGGAUGGACUCGCGGCUUAUCAGCUUGUUGGUGGGGUAGUGGCUUACCAAGGCUUUGACGGGUAGCCGGCCUGAGAGGGUGACCGGCCACAUUGGGACUGAGCUACGGCCCAGACUCCUACGGGAGGCAGCAGUGGGGAAUAUUGCACAAUGGGCGGAAGCCUGAUGCAGCAACGCCGCGUGCGGGAUGACGGCCUUCGGGUUGUAAACCGCUUUCGCCUGUGACGAAGCGUGAGUGACGGUAAUGGGUAAAGAAGCACCGGCUAACUACGUG